RNAcentral lists this transfer RNA (77 nucleotides) under Acuticoccus mangrovi. RNAcentral's name for it is "tRNA-Pro". It matches the Rfam family "tRNA". From Rfam's summary of the family: Transfer RNA (tRNA) molecules are approximately 80 nucleotides in length. Their secondary structure includes four short double-helical elements and three loops (D, anti-codon, and T loops). Lineage: Bacteria; Pseudomonadati; Pseudomonadota; Alphaproteobacteria; Hyphomicrobiales; Amorphaceae. The record is from RNAcentral.
CGGGGCAUAGCUCAGCCUGGUAGAGCACCGGUUUUGGGAACCGGGGGUCGUAGGUUCGAAUCCUGCUGCCCCGACCA